UGCGAACGGGUGAGUAACACGUGAGUAACCUGCCCUUGACUCUGGGAUAAGCGCUGGAAACGGCGUCUAAUACCNNAUACGACCUGCCCCGGCAUCGGGUGCGGGUGGAAAGUUUUUCGGUCAAGGAUGGACUCGCGGCCUAUCAGCUUGUUGGUGAGGUAAUGGCUCACCAAGGCGACGACGGGUAGCCGGCCUGAGAGGGUGACCGGCCACACUGGGACUGAGACACGGCCCAGACUCCUACGGGAGGCAGCAGUGGGGAAUAUUGCACAAUGGGCGAAAGCCUGAUGCAGCAACGCCGCGUGGGGGAUGACGGCCUUCGGGUUGUAAACCUCUUUUAGUAGGGAAGAAGGACUUCGGUUUGACGGUACCUGCAGAAAAAGCACCGGCUAACUACGUGCCAGCAGCCGCGGUAAUACGUAGGGUGCAAGCGUUGUCCGGAAUUAUUGGGCGUAAAGAGCUCGUAGGCGGUUUGUCGCGUCUGCUGUGAAAACCCGAGGCUCAACCUCGGGCCUGCAGUGGGUACGGGCAGACUAGAGUGCGGUAGGGGAGAAUGGAAUUCCUGGUGUAGCGGUGGAAUGCGCAGAUAUCAGGAGGAACACCGAUGGCGAAGGCAGUUCUCUGGGCCGUUACUGACGCUGAGGAGCGAAAGCGUGGGGAGCGAACAGGAUUAGAUACCCUGGUAGUCCACGCCGUAAACGUUGGGAACUAGAUGUGGGGACCUUUCCACGGUCUCCGUGUCGCAGCUAACGCAUUAAGUUCCCCGCCUGGGGAGUACGGCCGCAAGGCUAAAACUCAAAGGAAUUGACGGGGGCCCGCACAAGCGGCGGAGCAUGCGGAUUAAUUCGAUGCAACGCGAAGAACCUUACCAAGGCUUGACAUAUACCGGAAACUUCCAGAAAUGGUUGCCCCGCAGGGUCGGUAUACAGGUGGUGCAUGGUUGUCGUCAGCUCGUGUCGUGAGAUAUUGGGUUAAGUCCCGCAACGAGCGCAACCCUCGUUCUAUGUUGCCAGCACGUCAUGGUGGGAACUCAUAGGAGACUGCCGGGGUCAACUCGGAGGAAGGUGGGGAUGGCGUCAAAUCAUCAUGCCCCUUAUGUCUUGGGCUUCACGCAUGCUACAAUGGCCGGUACAAAGGGCUGCGAUACCGUAAGGUGGAGCGAAUCCCAAAAAGCCGGUCUCAGUUCGGAUUGAGGUCUGCAACUCGACCUCAUGAAGUCGGAGUCGCUAGUAAUCGCAGAUCAGCAACGCUGCGGUGAAUACGUUCCCGGGCCUUGUACACACCGCCCGUCAAGUCAUGAAAGUCGGUA
Molecule: ribosomal RNA, 1309 nt
Filed under: Rathayibacter caricis
Lineage: Bacteria; Bacillati; Actinomycetota; Actinomycetes; Micrococcales; Microbacteriaceae
Description: bacterial SSU rRNA
Rfam family: Bacterial small subunit ribosomal RNA
Source: RNAcentral